GCAUAUCAAUAAGCGGAGGAAAAGAAACUAACAAGGAUUCCCCUAGUAACGGCGAGUGAAGCGGGAAGAGCUCAAAUUUGUAAUCUGGCGGUCCCAGGCCGUCCGAGUUGUAGUCUGGAGAAGCGUCUUCCGUGCCGGACCGUGUACAAGUCCCUUGGAACAGGGCCUCAUAGAGGGUGAGAAUCCCGUCUUUGACACGGACUGCCGGUGCUCUGUGAUGCGCUCUCGAAGAGUCGAGUUGUUUGGGAAUGCAGCUCAAAAUGGGUGGUAAAUUCCAUCUAAAGCUAAAUAUUGGCGAAAGACCGAUAGCGAACAAGUACCGUGAGGGAAAGAUGAAAAGCACUUUGGAAAGAGAGUUAAACAGUACGUGAAAUUGUUGAAAGGGAAACGCUUGAAGUCAGUCGCGUCUUCCAGGACUCAGUCGGACACUCGUGUCUGAUGUACUUCCUGGUGUGACGGGCCAGCAUCGAUUUCGACCAUCGGAGAAAGGCUCUGGGAAUGUGGCACCUUCGGGUGUGUUAUAGCCCUGGGUCGUAUGCGACGGUCGGGAUCGAGGAUCGCAGCACGCCUUCAUUGGCCGGGGUUCGCCCACGCAACGUGCUUAGGAUGCUGGCGUAAUGGCUUUAAGCGACCCGUCUUGAAACACGGACCAAGGAGUCUAACAUGCCUGCGAGUGUUUGGGUGGAAAACCCGGACGCGCAAUGAAAGUGAAAGGUUGGGACCUCUGUCGUGGAGGGCACCGACGCCCGGACCAGACCUUCUGUGACGGUUCCGAGGUAGAGCAUGUAUGUUGGGACCCGAAAGAUGGUGAACUAUGCCUGAGUAGGGUGAAGCCAGAGGAAACUCUGGUGGAGGCUCGUAGCGAUUCUGACGUSCAAAUCGAUCGUCGAACUUGGGUAUAGGGGCGAAAGACUAAUCGAACCAUCUAGUAGCUGGUUCCUGCCGA
This 946-nucleotide ribosomal RNA is filed under the name Ramaria concolor. RNAcentral's name for it is "partial large subunit ribosomal RNA". It matches the Rfam family "Eukaryotic large subunit ribosomal RNA", at positions 38 to 964 of the family's 3401-position model. The record is from RNAcentral. Lineage: Eukaryota; Fungi; Basidiomycota; Agaricomycetes; Gomphales; Gomphaceae.